GUCCUGCCUGCCCAGUGACUCAUGUUAAACGGCCGCGGUAUUUUGACCGUGCUAAGGUAGCGCAAUCACUUGUCUUUUAAAUGGAGACCUGUAUGAAUGGUGGAACGAGGGCUUAACUGUCUCCCCCCUCUAGUCAAUGAAAUUGAUCUACCCGUGCAGAAGCGGGUAUACACAUAUAAGACGAGAAGACCCUUUGGAGCUUAAGACAAAAGACCAACUGCAUCAAGGACCCCAAUUAAACGAGAUCAAACAAAACAGCAACUGGCCCAAGUCUUCGGUUGGGGCGACCGCGGGGGACAACAAAGCCCCCAUGUGGAAUGGGAACAUCCCUAAAACUAAGAGAGACAUCUCUAAGCAACAGAACAUCUGACCAUAAAGAUCCGGCACAAUAGCCGAUUAACGGACCAAGUUACCCUAGGGAUAACAGCGCAAUCCCCUUUGAAAGUUCAUAUCGACAAGGGGGUUUACGACCUCGAUGUUGGAUCAGGACAUCCUAAUGGUGCAGCCAGCUAUNARGGG
This 519-nucleotide ribosomal RNA is filed under the name Cynodon gibbus. RNAcentral describes it as "partial large subunit ribosomal RNA". It matches the Rfam family "Bacterial large subunit ribosomal RNA", at positions 1852 to 2571 of the family's 2925-position model. Lineage: Eukaryota; Metazoa; Chordata; Actinopteri; Characiformes; Characidae. The record is from RNAcentral.